Molecule: long non-coding RNA, 1018 nt
Filed under: Zonotrichia albicollis (white-throated sparrow)
Lineage: Eukaryota; Metazoa; Chordata; Aves; Passeriformes; Passerellidae
Description: lncRNA (ENSZALG00000012103.1)
Source: RNAcentral
GGACUCCUUGGGGUUUUUUUGCUGUUUUGGGGUUUUUAGCAGUGCCAUGCUCUCCCUGCUCUGUUUCCUGAGGACUCCUUGGGGUUUUUUGCUGUUUUGGGUGUUUUGGCAGCGCCAGGCUCACUCCUGGCUGUGUUUUCUCACGAUUCCUUGGGGUUUUUUGCUGUUUUUGGGUAUUUUGGCAGCGCCAUGCUCCCCCUGCUCUGUUUCCUCAGGACUCCUUGGGGUUGUUUUGCUGUUUUGGGUAUUUUGCCAGCACCAGGCUCACCCCAGCUCUGUUUCCUGAGGACUGCUUGGGGUUGUUUUGCUGUUUUUGGGUAUUUUAGCAGNUCCUUACGGUGAAUUUGCCUUUCUCCGCUGCAGGCGCUCGCUCCCCGGUGGAUCAGGAGGCGCUGCCCCGGUGACCGGAGGUGGGGAUGGGCCGGCGCUCCUCGGACACGGAGGAGGAGGGCAGGAGCCGCAGGAAGAAGAAGCACCGGCGGCGCUCCUCCUCCAGCAGCUCCUCGGACAGCCGCGCCUACAGCCGCAAAAAGUCGGGCCGCAAAUCCAGGUCCAGGUCGCGCUCCCGGGAUCUCCCGUCCUGGUCCCACUCCUAUGAGAAAAGGCGCAGGCACAGAUCCAGCAGCAGCUCCUCCUACGGCUCCAGGAGGAAGCGCAGCCGCUCCCGGGGCAGAGGCAAAUCCUACAGAUCCCAAAGGUCCAGGUCAAAGAGCAGGACCAGGAGGGACUCUGCAAACAUCAAAGCUGGAUUAGAACAUCUGGUAAGUUUUAAUUUUCUCUUGAACAUUUGCAUCAUCUUUGAUAUCUGCAUUCCAAAUGAACACUUUUGAAUGAGCUUUGAAUACCUUGAAUUGAGAAAGUCAACCAUUUCCCAGAGGGUCAGGCUACAGUUAUUAUGUGAAGGCACUCACAUUUUCAUUUAUCUCCCCAUUUCAAGGGAAUUUUAAUUUUUUUAAAUUACUUUUUUUUGAUGUCGAGAUGAAAUAAACUGGACUACAAUCCUUGGAUUGAUGAUUGC